Molecule: ribosomal RNA, 672 nt
Filed under: Triticum aestivum (bread wheat)
Lineage: Eukaryota; Viridiplantae; Streptophyta; Magnoliopsida; Poales; Poaceae
Description: partial small subunit ribosomal RNA
Source: RNAcentral
AUGGAGUCCAUGACAAGUGCUGCUCUAAGUAUUGGGUCAACUACGGCAAUGGGAGUUGAAGAUGAUGCCAACAGCUUUGCCAUGGGCACGAUCCAGCAGGUCGAAAACGAUGAAAAUAGCUACCACACGCCAACACGAACUAGCAGUCUUCCAUUUUGUGGGUCAAGAUAUGAGCCCGAGUGUGACCCUAACUUACAGCCCGUAAUUGGUAUGCAAUUUGACACUUGGGAGGAAGGUAUGCCAUUCUACAAAAUGUAUGCUCAUGAAGUCGGGUUCUCAGUUCGCACAUGGACGACACACAAAGAUGAACAUGGCGUAGUAUGGAAGAGGUUUGUUUGUGCUAGGGAGGGUUGGAGAAAGGUGGCCCCAGAAGAGGAAAGGAUAAAGCCUAAACGAAAAUUCAAAUUAACCAGGUGUGGUUGUGAGGCUAUGAUUGGAUUGAAGAGGCAGGAUGAUGGCAAAUAUAAGGUUGCCCGGUUUGUUCAAUCACACACUCACCAACUUAUUUCGCCAAGUAAAAGACAUCCCAUCAAGUCAAAUAGAGAAGUAAGUAGUGAGUUGCGGAGCAAACUACUUACAUGUCAUAAGGCAAUGGUUGGCACAUCUGCAGCAUAUCGCUUGCUUAGUGUUGAGAAGGGGGGGUCCCGAAAAUGUGGGCUGCACAAAGCGUGA